GGUGGCACACCUGUGUGUCAUUCCAGUCAUCCCCUGCAGUGCUUUUAAGGAGCAGUGUUGCAGUCAUUCUUUGCCUGAUCCUGCCCCACACAGUUGCUUGGUCUCUGUCAGAUUCCUUUCCAGUCAACUUCAAAGAACUCCAUUGCUGACAUAGCCUUUGGCGGUUAUCGCCCACGGCAGUGAACGCUUGCUCCUCCUGCUUGCCCACUCUCAAUCGCCUCUGUGAAUCCCCAGCAUUCACCCCAGGAUCUCAAUACUUCCCUCCUGGCCAUGCCUGCAUCUUUUCACAAUCACUAAAAACCUACACGUCUGUACCUGAUCUGCUCCACCUUCCAGAAACAACUCAUAUUUAAAUAAGUAUAUGUAACUGUUUGCUGUGUCUCACCGGUUUUCUGCACGUGGGUCAAGCAAAUUCCCCAAUUCAUGUCAUAAACCAAGUUGCUUUGGCCAUAAUUCUAAAGGUAGUCUAUGU
Molecule: long non-coding RNA, 472 nt
Organism: Fundulus heteroclitus (mummichog)
Lineage: Eukaryota; Metazoa; Chordata; Actinopteri; Cyprinodontiformes; Fundulidae
Exons: 3
Source: RefSeq, a predicted model, not a curated record